This 440-nucleotide ribosomal RNA is filed under the name uncultured bacterium. RNAcentral's name for it is "partial 16S ribosomal RNA". It matches the Rfam family "Bacterial small subunit ribosomal RNA", at positions 338 to 795 of the family's 1533-position model. The record is from RNAcentral.
CCUACGGGUGGCAGCAGUAGGGAAUAUUGCUCAAUGGGGGAAACCCUGAAGCAGCAACGCCGCGUGGAGGAUGAAGGUUCUCGGAUUGUAAACUCCUUUUGUUAGAGAAGAUAAUGACGGUAUCUGACGAAUAAGCACCGGCUAACUCCGUGCCAGCAGCAGUGGUAAUACGGAGGGUGCAAGCGUUACUCGGAAUCACUGGGGGUAAAGAGCGCGUAGGCGGGAUAGCAAGUCAGAUGUGAAAUCCUAUGGCUUAACCAUAGAACUGCAUUGGAAACUGGUAUUCUAGAGUGUGGGAGAGGUAGGUGGAAUUCGUGGUGUAGCGGUGAAAUCCGUAGAGAUCAAGAGGAAUACUCAUUGCGAAGGCGACCUGCUGGAACGUAACUGACGCUGAGGCGCGAAAGCGUGGGGAGCAAACAGGAUUAGAUACCCCAGUAGUC